CACGGCUUGAUCGCCCGAGCCUUGAAGCUUGCUACAAGAGGAGAAGGGCUGCUCGCUGUACGCUGGCCGCGGGUACAUCGCCUCAUGCUGGAAGCCGGGCUCCCGUGCCCGGGUAUAGUAAUCCGGAGAAUGGCUUGUUCAUUGAUGGACAGUACACAAAGAACAACACCAGAAAAGAAGACCACAACCUAUUUCCUCCGGCAACUCUGCGUUUUCCUGUUUAGCCCUCGGAUUGCACUAACUGUCAGCGCGGAAAAGCAAUAUAUAUAUAUUAAAAAGAGAGACGUGGGGAAUAUUUCGAAAUUCUGAAAGAAGGAAAACUUUUGACUCCCAAAAAUAGAUUCUGACCUCUCCCGCCCCUUCAAACUACACACCGGAAACGGCAAGAAUUAAAAACUUGACUGCCGGAUUCGAGGACUGUGCACGCCAAUAAUUAUCAGGAACGCAAUGUACUCGGAUACCCGGAGAAGAAUUGGGAAUAAAAAGCCAUCGAUACUUAGUAGGAAAGUUGCACAUCAAUGCACCGAUAAUGUUACAAUCCUCCACGCCAGGAUUUGUGCCAACCGACUCCGUUUAUCAGCGCUCCUAGCAUAAAAUCGGAGAAUAUUCCCUCCUGCCUGAAAGAUUGCGAUUUUAACGAGGAAACUAACGCACUAGGAGCCCGAAUUAGGAUUUGCGCACAUUCUAUAAAAUGCAUCGUGCGAGAUAUGUUACAAUUUACAAAUUCAGUCUGAUAUCCGGCCCCCAAAUCCAGUCCUAUUGUCCGCUGUGUGCCUUUAUGUUAACCUUUAUUUUGGACACUGCUAUAGCCACAGUUCGCAUAUAUAAACACACACACACACACACACACACAAGUAUAAACUUUCUGUAUAAGUCUGUUGCGUUUAAAUGCCUUUUCCUGCUUAAGUAAUGCCCGCGGAGAGUAAAAAUUUCAGAUUGUAUGUUGUAUACGUUCUCUGAUAUUAAACUGAACCAUUACACAAUUGAAGGAGGAGAGGAGGUUUAUGUUUAUAAAAAAACACUCGAGUAUCAAAAUCCGGCAUGGAGGAUGAAUAUUCUAGUUAUUUUGUUUUUUUUUGUUUAUGACUCUAAAGCCAGCCUCUGCGUUUCUGCAUUACUUUGUUUUAAUUGAUUAUCGGUAAGCGUUAUCGUUGCAUUAAAGCACAAAACUUGGGAGUGGAAGGCAUAUUAACGAAAAAAAAAAUGUCCUUAUUUUAUUCCACGGAACAGUUUACAUCCUUCAUGGUAAAGCGGGUAAACUCAACAAAUAUAAAUGGUCCAUUUUUAAAUAUUUUUUUCCUUCUAAAAAGAAAUGUACAGAGAAAUGACCUUCAACACGUUCACCAGAACACCAUUUUAUACGGGUCGCACGUCAAUGAACUGUACAGGGGUUGUGGCUACACACAGCUCCUUAUUAAAACUAUACUUACUAACAAGAAAUUACAUCAUUACAGUAACAAAUAUAGGUCACUGACAUAUUUUUCCCUUUAAAUACACGUGGUAAAUUAAUGCUAAUUACAGUAACGGUCAAUGCACCACAUUAGAAAGCCUAAUUCAAAUUACUAUAUAUAACUUGUACAAUCUAGACUCGGGUCAGUCCCCCUAUCUGUACAAUACAAACUACAGGUCGAACAGUUACAGAUUUAGGUAGUAUUUUGUUUCAAUGUUAAGAAAUGCGGAAUAAAUCUCCCCAUUUGCUAAGAAGUCAUUGAUAACGCUCUAAGGUUUUCAGAAGGUUUUUUUUU
Long non-coding RNA from Mobula hypostoma (lesser devil ray), 1745 nucleotides. RefSeq lists it as uncharacterized. The record is from RefSeq and is a predicted model, not a curated record. The transcript is spliced from 3 exons. NCBI's taxonomy places the organism in Eukaryota, Metazoa, Chordata, Chondrichthyes, Myliobatiformes, Myliobatidae.